UAAUGCUUGGGAAUCUAGCUUAUGGAGGGGGAUAACUAUGGGAAACUGUAGCUGAUACCGCGUAGAAUCGGGAGAUGAAAGUGUGGGACCUUCGGGCCACAUGCCAUAGGAUGAGCCCAAGUGGGAUUAGGUAGUUGGUGAGGUAAAGGCUCACCAAGCCGACGAUCUCUAGCUGGUCUGAGAGGAUGACCAGCCACACUGGGACUGAGACACGGCCCAG
Molecule: ribosomal RNA, 220 nt
Filed under: uncultured bacterium
Lineage: Bacteria
Description: partial 16S ribosomal RNA
Rfam family: Bacterial small subunit ribosomal RNA
Source: RNAcentral